GGGGAUUUAGCUCAGUGGUGUAAGUGCCUGCCUGGCAAGCACGAGGUUGUGAGUUCGAUCCCCGUUACCCCA
Cavia porcellus (domestic guinea pig) is the source of this 72-nucleotide transfer RNA. It matches the Rfam family "tRNA". Rfam says of the family: Transfer RNA (tRNA) molecules are approximately 80 nucleotides in length. NCBI's taxonomy places the organism in Eukaryota, Metazoa, Chordata, Mammalia, Rodentia, Caviidae. The record is from Rfam.